This 496-nucleotide unclassified non-coding RNA is filed under the name Hevea brasiliensis (rubber tree). Lineage: Eukaryota; Viridiplantae; Streptophyta; Magnoliopsida; Malpighiales; Euphorbiaceae. The record is from RNAcentral.
GCGUACGUGUCCCACCGCUCGACACUGUAGAGGGUCUGGAGGUCGACUGUGGCUGAGGCUGUAGAGCCAGAUGAGACGUUGAGUUGCUCGAGUUGAGCACAGGUUCGGGCUGCGCUGAAUGUGACGGCGUAGGUGGCACCCUUCUCUACCUCCACUGUUUGGUGGAUUCCAGCCUCGUUUCCGAGUCGGACAGCAUGUUUCCCUUGUGGCACAAUGAGCAUCAUGACCCCCUGUUUCUGCCCGGCAUCCACCAACUCGACUGUCCCAUUAACUGUCCAUCCCGGAAUGGGAACGAUGGCCGCCGCCACCUCUCCCAAACCACCACGACCACUCAUAAAACCACCGGGCGGAGGUGUCUCAAAAUCCCCAUUAUUAAGUAACCCGUCUUCUACGACGGCGGCGGAGGCGCAGCGAGCGAGCAGCAGUGUGAGGAGGAGCAGAGGCGACAUCUCGCCGCGGAGAUGAUGAGAGCUACUGCAGUGAGUGUGGGGUGGUU